RNAcentral lists this ribosomal RNA (390 nucleotides) under Scinax ruber (red snouted treefrog). RNAcentral describes it as "partial 16S ribosomal RNA". It matches the Rfam family "Bacterial large subunit ribosomal RNA", at positions 1846 to 2422 of the family's 2925-position model. Lineage: Eukaryota; Metazoa; Chordata; Amphibia; Anura; Hylidae. The record is from RNAcentral.
UAAGAGGUCCAGCCUGCCCAGUGACAAAUGUUCAACGGCCGCGGUAUCCUAACCGUGCGAAGGUAGCGUAAUCACUUGUUCUUUAAAUGAGGACUAGUAUGAAUGGCACCACGAGGGUUGCACUGUCUCCUUCCCCUAAUCAAUGAAACUAAUCUUCCCGUGAAGAAGCGGGAGUUUAUCUAUAAGACGAGAAGACCCUAUGGAGCUUUAAAUUUCUCUUCAAACGCCAGACAUAAACCCUAAACAUCUUACACUAACCCGGCGCCAUGAAGAUGAAUUUUAGGUUGGGGUGACCACGGAGAACAAAACAACCUCCACGCUGAAUAGGCCUAAAACCUUGAACUAAGGACCACAGCCCGACGAACUAAAAAAUUAACACCCAUUGACCCA